Ictalurus punctatus (channel catfish) is the source of this 2914-nucleotide long non-coding RNA. Lineage: Eukaryota; Metazoa; Chordata; Actinopteri; Siluriformes; Ictaluridae. The record is from Ensembl.
GAGUGGUCGAUCAACAAAGAUCACUCUAAGAGCAAGAUGUGUAAUAGUCUAUGAGGUCACUCAGGGUAGGAACCCAGGGUAACUUCUAAGCAACAAAAAGCCUCUCUCACAUUGGUUAAUGUUAAUGUUCAGUCCACUAUCAGAAGAACACUGAACAACAAUGGUGUGCAAGAAGAAAAUUACUGCUCUCCAAACAAACUAUGAUGAUGAUGAUGAUGAUGAUAUCCAAGAACUGCUGGAUAUGGCAUCAUUCCUAGAUCAAAGAUUCAAGACAAGCUACAUUGCUGUUGAUAAACUUCUAAACAUCAAGGCCAGGGUGAUGUCUGAUAUGAAAGAGAUUUUAUACAAGGUGAGUUGUUGUUGUUUGGGUAAUUGAGUGUGACAGUCAUUCCUUAAUACUAGAUAAACAGUCUUUUAUAUUAUCUGUUUUAUGCAUCCUCAUAGAAUGCAAUGAAUUCUGAGAGCACUACAGGCAGGAAGGAUGUAGACACAGAUCUACCUUCAUUAGCAAAAAAAUAAAAAAGUCUUUGGGAAGCUUCUUCAAGACUGUCUCUGCAUAUUUGCAACUUGAAGAAGCCAUUGCCUCUGAGAUGAACCGCUACCUCCUUACUCCCUCCACUGACCGUGAGGAAGAUCCUCUGUUAUGGAGGAAACUACAUCAGAUAAACUUCUCAGGAUUGAGCAGGCUUGCACAAAAGUAUCUGUGUUUAGUACAGGAGGAAAUGUGGUGACAUGUCAGCAUUCAUGCUUGAAGCCAGAAAUGUUCAGUUUGGGUUGUUUUUUGUUUUGGUGGUUUGAUUAAUCGUAUUCUUAUUUAUUUUGAAAUCGUGAUUAAAAUCGAAAUUGCAAUACCAGUCAAAAAAUUGUGAUAGUAUUUUUUUGUCCAUAUUGCACAGCCCUAUUCCCCAUCGAAGGCUUGUGAGAGCAUGGUGCCCAGCCCAGUCUCAGAUGCGUCAGUGUGGACGGUGAGAAACAAGUCAAAGUCUGUGUUCCUGAGAACUAGGGAGCUGGGUCACGGGGGAACCUGGAGUCUAUCCCAGGAAGCAUCAGGCACAAGGCAGGGUACACCCUGGACAGGGUGCCAGUCCAUCGCAGGGCACAAUCACAUACACACUCACACACCCAUUCAUACACUAGAGACACUUUAGACACGCCAAUCAGCCUACCAUGCAUGUCUUUGGACUGGGGGAGGAAACCGGAGCACCCAGAAGAAACCCCCACAGCACAGAGAGAACAUACAAACUCCGCACACACGGCCCCGGCGGGAAUCCAAACCCGGACCCUGGAGGUGUGAGGCGAACGUUCUAACCACUAAGCCACCGUGUGCCGUUAUGGUUACAUUUAUAUAGCACUUUUCUAGAAACUCAAAGCAUUUUACAUAGUGUGGGGGGUGGGGGUCUCCUCAACCAUCACUAGUGUGUAGCAUCCACCUGGAUGAUGCGAUGGCAGCCAUAGUAUAUGCAAAUAUUUGUGUAAUGCUGAGCACAGCUGUCUUCAGACUGUUGCUGGCCCAAAUUUAGCCUAUUACCCAAAAACACUUAAAAUUCAACAUAGAAGCAAAUACUCACAUCUCCGAACCCAGUUGGAGAUAGGAAAAAAGACACCAGCCGUGAGUGAGAAGAAGCAGGGGUCCAGAUUUAUUGGUUCCGUUCCACCACACGAGAUCCACACUGAUGAGAAUUCUCAGAAGUGAUCUGACACCCGGAGCUCAAGCUCCAGUAUUUAUGUCACGAGUUCCCCUUUAUACAGCAUGCUGUGGAGCAUGUGAGCAUGCGUGCACGAGCAGGUGUGCGAGCACCUGCUUUUCCCUUGUGGACAAUCGUGACAUUUCUACACGUGCAUUUGUUUAUGUUUCUGUUAUGUCUCCUCCCCGUUCUGUCAUUGGCUAUUGUUUCAUGUGUGUCUGAAUCGUCCUCAGCCGUCAGCCAUUACGAGGCUGAUUGUCUCCACAUAUAUACCGCACGCCUCCCAGCACACAACGUGGAAUGUUGAAUGAGUUAGAUAGUCGAUUAGUUUAGAGUUCUUACGAUAGAUAACCACAGUCUCAGUCCAUAGUUUCACGAUUCGAUUCAUAGUGUUAGUCUUAGUCUUAGUCUUAGUUCAUAGUUCAUGUUAUGUUUAGUUUUGUUUGUUAAGUUCACGCUGGUUUCUCCGCUACCAGUCCCUCGCUAUUGUUUCUGUUUCAUGUUUGGUAUUUCGACCCUGUAUCCUGAGACCUCGACGUUGAUUCCUGCCUUGCCUUGUUUAUGCCUGUUUGCCGAUCGCCUGAACCUUGCAUGUUACUGGAUUAUGUUUUUGGAUCACGUUUUGGUUUUGUCUGCCUGUCUCUGUUUAAAUAAAACUGUUGUUCAACCUUCACUUGCAUCCUACCUUAUCUCCGUUGCGUCACGCAACGUGACAAUUUAUACUGUAUUUACACAGUAGAUAACCAAUAUAUUUCAGAAAGACUAUGAUAUGAAUACCAAUAGGGUUAAAAAAAGAGCUUAUCUACAUUACCAUCAUGUUUUGAAAGAGUCUUAUCAAAUUUACCAUUAUGUUUUGAAAGAGGACUUUCCAGGUACCAUUAUGUUUUGAAAGAGGACUUUCUGGAUACCAUUAGGUUCGAAAAUGGGAGACAGACAAAACAAUUUAGAGAGACCUUGGUCUCACUAUUGUCUCGCGUGGGCAGCUUGACUCAGCUACCCUUAUAAAUGGCUCUUCCCGGUUUUCUCUUAAAAUUAAGGCCUUCCUUGCGAGACAAGAAUCUUCACCAUCUGAAUUAUGAGUGCCCGUCGUCAUUUCUUCUUCUCUCCUUUACUGGAUUUGGAUCUGAACACUCACUAUCACCUCGCGCAUUUCACUGCUGACAUCAUGGUGCUACUUAACGUUCUUCGCAGCACCCCCUCUGGAAAUGGAAAUGCGGGGUCCCCCCCCC